CAAGUCGAACGAGUUUCCGGGCUUGCUCGGAAAUUAGUGGCGAACGGCUGAGUAACGCGUAGGUGACCUACCCCGUAGUGAGGAAUAACUGCCCGAAAGGGUAGCUAAUACCUCAUGUUGAGACGCUUUCAUUGGCGUCUCCAAAGCAGCAAUGCGCUAUGGGCGGGGCCUGCGUUCGAUUAGCUAGUUGGUGAGGUAAUGGCUCACCAAGGCGACGAUCGAUAGGUGGUCUGAGAGGACGAUCACCCAGACUGGGACUGAGACACGGCCCAGACUCCUACGGGAGGCAGCAGUCGGGAAUUUUGCGCAAUGGGGGAAACCCUGACGCAGCAAUACCGCGUGUGGGAUGAAGGCCUUCGGGUCGUAAACCACUUUUCUCGGGGACGAUAAUGACGGUACCCGAGGAAUAAGCCACGACUAACUACGUGCCAGCAGCCGCGGUAAUACGUAGGUGGCAAGCGUUGUCCGGAUUUACUGGGCGUAAAGCGCGCGCAGGCGGUGAAUGAAGUCGAAAGUGAAAGCCCCGGGCUCAACUCGGGAACAGCUUUCGAAACCAGUUCACUUGAAGGUGGAAGAGGGAAGUGGAAUUCCGAGUGUAGCGGUGGAAUGCGCAGAUAUUCGGAGGAACACCAGAGGCGAAGGCGACUUCCUGGUCCAAUCUUGACGCUGAGGCGCGAAAGCUAGGGGAGCAAACAGGAUUAGAUAUCCUGGUAGUCCUAGCUGUAAACGAUGGAUACUAGGUGUUGGAGGUUUUAACCCCUCCGGUGCCGCAGCUAACGCAUUAAGUAUCCCGCCUGGGGAGUACGGCCGCAAGGCUAAAACUCAAAGGAAUUGACGG
RNAcentral lists this ribosomal RNA (838 nucleotides) under uncultured bacterium. RNAcentral describes it as "bacterial SSU rRNA". It matches the Rfam family "Bacterial small subunit ribosomal RNA", at positions 58 to 916 of the family's 1533-position model. The record is from RNAcentral.